Molecule: ribosomal RNA, 490 nt
Filed under: uncultured bacterium
Lineage: Bacteria
Description: partial 16S ribosomal RNA
Rfam family: Bacterial small subunit ribosomal RNA
Source: RNAcentral
AUUGAACGCUGGCGGCAGGCCUAACACAUGCAAGUCGAAUGGUAACAGGAAACAGCUUGCUGUUUCGCUGACGAGUGGCGGACGGGUGAGUAAUGUCUGGGAAACUGCCUGAUGGAGGGGGAUAACUACUGGAAACGGUAGCUAAUACCGCAUAACGUCGCAAGACCAAAGAGGGGGACCUUCGGGCCUCUUGCCAUCAGAUGUGCCCAGAUGGGAUUAGCUAGUAGGUGGGGUAACGGCUCACCUAGGCGACGAUCCCUAGCUGGUCGGAGAGGAGGACCGGCCACAGUGGAACUGAGACACGGUCCGGACUCCGACGGGAGGCAGCAGUAGGGAAUCGUCAGCAAUGGGGGAAAGCAUGACGGAGCAAUGCGGGGUGAGUGAGGAAGGUCUUCGGAUCGUAAAACUCUGUGAUGAGGGAAGAAGAAAGGUGUAAGUAACUGUGCACAUCUGGACGUUACCUGAUCAGAAAGCCACGGCUAACUACGUG